AUUCAGCUGACAUCCCAAAUAGGACGAAACGCGCGUCCUGGAU
Molecule: non-coding RNA, 43 nt
Organism: Schistosoma mattheei
Lineage: Eukaryota; Metazoa; Platyhelminthes; Trematoda; Strigeidida; Schistosomatidae
Source: Rfam